RNAcentral lists this ribosomal RNA (1342 nucleotides) under Mycobacterium sp. DWMJ-1769B1. RNAcentral describes it as "bacterial SSU rRNA". It matches the Rfam family "Bacterial small subunit ribosomal RNA", at positions 82 to 1429 of the family's 1533-position model. Lineage: Bacteria; Bacillati; Actinomycetota; Actinomycetes; Mycobacteriales; Mycobacteriaceae. The record is from RNAcentral.
UCGGGGUACUCGAGUGGCGAACGGGUGAGUAACACGUGGGUGAUCUGCCCUGCACUUUGGGAUAAGCCUGGGAAACUGGGUCUAGGAUACCGAAUAGGACCACGCGCGUUCAUGGUGUGUGGUGGAAAGCUUGAAAGUUUCGGUGUGGGAUGGGCCCGCGGCCUAUCAGCUUGUUGGUGGGGUAAUGGCCUACCAAGGCGACGACGGGUAGCCGGCCUGAGAGGGUGACCGGCCACACUGGGACUGAGAUACGGCCCAGACUCCUACGGGAGGCAGCAGUGGGGAAUAUUGCACAAUGGGCGCAAGCCUGAUGCAGCGACGCCGCGUGAGGGAUGACGGCCUUCGGGUUGUAAACCUCUUUCAAUAGGGACGAAGCGCAAGUGACGGUACCUAUAGAAGAAGCACCGGCCAACUACGUGCCAGCAGCCGCGGUAAUACGUAGGGUGCGAGCGUUGUCCGGAAUUACUGGGCGUAAAGAGCUCGUAGGUGGUUUGUCGCGUUGUUCGUGAAAACUCACAGCUUAACUGUGGGCGUGCGGGCGAUACGGGCAGACUAGAGUACUGCAGGGGAGACUGGAAUUCCUGGUGUAGCGGUGGAAUGCGCAGAUAUCAGGAGGAACACCGGUGGCGAAGGCGGGUCUCUGGGCAGUAACUGACGCUGAGGAGCGAAAGCGUGGGGAGCGAACAGGAUUAGAUACCCUGGUAGUCCACGCCGUAAACGGUGGGUACUAGGUGUGGGUUCCUUCCUUGGGAUCCGUGCCGUAGCUAACGCAUUAAGUACCCCGCCUGGGGAGUACGGCCGCAAGGCUAAAACUCAAAGGAAUUGACGGGGGCCCGCACAAGCGGCGGAGCAUGUGGAUUAAUUCGAUGCAACGCGAAGAACCUUACCUGGGUUUGACAUGCACAGGACGCCGGCAGAGAUGUCGGUUCCCUUGUGGCCUGUGUGCAGGUGGUGCAUGGCUGUCGUCAGCUCGUGUCGUGAGAUGUUGGGUUAAGUCCCGCAACGAGCGCAACCCUUGUCCUAUGUUGCCAGCGGGUUAUGCCGGGGACUCGUAGGAGACUGCCGGGGUCAACUCGGAGGAAGGUGGGGAUGACGUCAAGUCAUCAUGCCCCUUAUGUCCAGGGCUUCACACAUGCUACAAUGGCCGGUACAAAGGGCUGCGAUGCCGUGAGGUGGAGCGAAUCCUUUCAAAGCCGGUCUCAGUUCGGAUCGGGGUCUGCAACUCGACCCCGUGAAGUCGGAGUCGCUAGUAAUCGCAGAUCAGCAACGCUGCGGUGAAUACGUUCCCGGGCCUUGUACACACCGCCCGUCACGUCAUGAAAGUCGGUAACACCCGAAGCCG